UUUCAUAUGGUCUGAAAAUAUUUAUAUAAAAAUUGCGAACACUAAUUGUGAGCAAUCAAUGUUUAUUUUGAAUAGGGCGCCAAAUUGAGCCAAAAUUGUUCCAACAUUCAUUAUCAUAAGCAAACAUAACCUACUUCAUAAUGGAUAAUUGCAAAAGAAAAUCAUGUGUUAAUCUAACAUCUGCAAACACUGAGUAACGUCCUAAGUGGAAGAGGGCGCGGUUCAAAGGAAGAAACUACGUUUAUAGUUCGGAAUCUGUGACUGGUACUUUCCUGGAAGAUGGUUGAGGUAAGUACGUGGAGCAGCGACGUUAUUAAUUUUGUUUCGUGCUCGUUUUUCUGUCCGUUAAUAUGUCGAUUAUAGUUGUAUUAUUAGCAAACCUUCAUGUCCGUAAACAUGUGUUAUACGUAGUUACAUUUGUUCUUACAAUUGUCUUGCAUUCGUUUAUUUCGGAUGGCCUUGUUCUCGAAUGUAUGUUCUGUCAUUGGAAAAUCUUGUGUUCAAAUUACUAUAUUGGUUGAAAAUGAUUCUUUAGUCGUAUGCUUUUUAAUUUUGUUCGUUGAAAUGGUUGUUUGUCAAAUCGAGACAACUUGUGGUUAAAUCGAUGUCGACAGAUAAUAAUCCAGUUUUCAAGCUCUUCAGGCAUGCUCUUUUCAUUAGUCCAUGCAGAUGCCACUAUAAUACAUUGGAUUAAGCCAUGUCUGCUUCGUCUCAUAUCCAUUCCAAUUCAUCAGUCAUAAUUUGAUGUCGAAGUCUGAGGUACGGACAGUGUCGUUAAAUAAGCCAUGAAUAA
This is a non-coding RNA of Zootermopsis nevadensis, 793 nucleotides long. Lineage: Eukaryota; Metazoa; Arthropoda; Insecta; Blattodea; Termopsidae. The record is from RefSeq and is a predicted model, not a curated record.